UCAAGCGAUAGGUAAGGGCAUUUGGUGAAUGCCUUGGCACUCAGAGGCGAAGAAGGACGUAAUACACUGCGAAAAGUCACGGGGAGUUGUGAAUAAGCAUUGAUCCGUGAAUGUCCGAAUGGGGAAACCCACAGAGCAAUCUGUAUCGUAACAUGAAUACAUAGUGUUGCGAAGCGAACGCAGGGAACUGAAACAUCUAAGUACCUGUAGGAAAGGAAAUCAACCGAGACUCCGAAAGUAGUGGCGAGCGAAAUCGGACCAGCCGAUGGAUUUGAUUGUAAGAACUAGAACAGCGUGGGAAAGCUGACCGAAGAUGGUGAUAGUCCAGUAUAGGUAGAAAGCAAUUAAGUUCUUGAGUAGGGCGGAGCACGAGAAAUUCUGUCUGAAAAUGGGGAGACCACUCUCCAAGGCUAAGUACUACUGAGUGACCGAUAGUGAACAAGUACCGUGAGGGAAAGGUGAAAAGCACCCCUAUAAGGGGAGUGAAAAAGAACCUGAAACCGGAUGCCUACAAGCAGUCGGAGGAGCAUUAGGCUCUGACGGCGUACCUUUUGUAUAAUGGGUCAGCGACUUAAUUUAUGUAGCAAGCUUAAGCCGAUAGGUGUAGGCGCAGCGAAAGCGAGUGUUAAUAGCGCGUUAAGUUACAUGGAUUAGACCCGAAACCGAGUGAUCUAGCCAUGAUCAGGUUGAAGGUUGGGUAACACCAACUGGAGGACCGAACCCACUCCCGUUGAAAAGGUAGGGGAUGAAUUGUGGCUAGGGGUGAAAGGCCAAUCAAACUCGGAAAUAGCUGGUUCUCCGCGAAAACUAUUUAGGUAGUGCGGCAAGCGGACACGUUGAGGGGUAGAGCACUGAAAGAGCUAAGGGGGAGCGAUCCUUACUAAACUUUAUCAAACUCCGAAUACUCAACAGUGAUACUUGCCAGACAGACUGUAGGUGCUAAGGUCUACGGUCGAGAGGGAAAGAGCCCAGACCGCCAAUUAAGGUCCCAAAAUUAUGGCUAAGUGGUAAAGGAAGUGAAUUGUCCAAAACAGUCAGGAGGUUGGCUUAGAAGCAGCCAUCCUUUAAAGAAAGCGUAAUAGCUCACUGAUCUAAACAAGACGAUUUGCGCCGAAGAUGUAACGGGGCUAAAGCCAUAUACCGAAGUUGCGGAAUUGCACGUAAGUGUAAUUGGUAGCGGAGCGUUCUGUAAGCCUGCGAAGGUGUUCCGUAAGGAAUGCUGGAGGUAUCAGAAGUGAGAAUGCUGACAUGAGUAGCGAAAAGAAGUGUGAGAGACACUUCCGCUGAAAGUCCAAGGUUUCCUGCGUAAAGCUAAUCUGCGCAGGGUUAGUCGGCCCCUAAGGCGAGGCAGAGAUGCGUAGUCGAUGGGAAUCAGGUUAAUAUUCCUGAACCAACUAGGAAGUGACGGAUUCAGUAAAUUGUAUGUCCUUAUUGGAUUGGAUGUGCAGUGAAUGAGUCCCGGGAAAUAGCCCUAGUAUAGACCGUACCCGAAACCGACACAGGUGGACAGGUAGAGAAUACCAAAGCGCUUGAGAGAACUAUGUUGAAGGAACUAGGCAAAAUACUUGCGUAACUUCGGGAUAAGCAAGCCCCAUUUCUGGGCAACCAGAGGUGGGGGGCACAUACUAGGGGGUAGCGACUGUUUACUAAAAACACAGGGCUCUGCUAAAUUGAAAGAUGAAGUAUAGGGUCUGACGCCUGCCCGGUGCUGGAAGGUUAAGGAGAGAUGUGCAAGCAUUGAACUGAAGCCCCAGUAAACGGCGGCCGUAACUAUAACGGUCCUAAGGUAGCGAAAUUCCUUGUCGGGUAAGUUCCGACCU
RNAcentral lists this ribosomal RNA (1820 nucleotides) under human gut metagenome. Its description in RNAcentral is "bacterial LSU rRNA". It matches the Rfam family "Bacterial large subunit ribosomal RNA", at positions 1 to 1989 of the family's 2925-position model. The record is from RNAcentral.